AAGUCGUAACAAGGUUUCCGUAGGUGAACCUGCGGAAGGAUCAUUAACGAUAUAAACCGUGGUCGAGGUUGUUAGCUGGCCCCAGGGCAUGUGCACGCCUCUUCCGCUCAUAUCCCACCACCACAACCUGUGCCACCUUUGCGGGGUCGGGUAACACCGGCUCGCGUCCUUUUACAACCUCGUAUGUCUAUAAGAAUGUAUCUUUGUGUCAAUAAAAACGCAUCUAAUAACGA
Molecule: unclassified non-coding RNA, 233 nt
Filed under: plant metagenome
Description: partial contains small subunit ribosomal RNA and internal transcribed spacer 1
Rfam family: Eukaryotic small subunit ribosomal RNA (bases 1-46)
Source: RNAcentral